AAGUCAGGCCAGAUUAAGCCAUAGUACGGAAAGAGCUAUGCUGCCUGUGAGCCCCGUCCAAGGACGUAAAAUGAAGUCAGGCCGAAAGCCACGGAUUGAGCAAGCCGUGCUGCCUGUGGCUCCAUCGUUGGGAUGUAAAAAACCGGGCGGCUGCAAACCAUGGAUGCUGUACGCAUGGGGUAGCAGACUAGUGGUUAGAGGCGCACCCUCCCUAGACACAACGCAGCAGCGGGGACACACACCACGGGAAGCUGCACCCUGGUGGUAAGGCCCAGAGG
Molecule: long non-coding RNA, 278 nt
Filed under: dengue virus type 1
Lineage: Riboviria; Orthornavirae; Kitrinoviricota; Flasuviricetes; Amarillovirales; Flaviviridae
Description: dengue virus type I partial sfRNA1
Rfam family: Flavivirus DB element (bases 146-218)
Source: RNAcentral